AGAGUUUGAUCAUGGCUCAGGACGAACGCUGGCGGCGUGCCUAAUACAUGCAAGUCGAGCGGACCGACGGGAGCUUGCUCCCUUAGGUCAGCGGCGGACGGGUGAGUAACACGUGGGUAACCUGCCUAUAAGACUGGGAUAACUCCGGGAAACCGGGGCUAAUACCGGAUGCUUGUUUGAACCGCAUGGUUCAAACAUAAAAGGUGGCUUUUCGCUACCACUUACAGAUGGACCCGCGGCGCAUUAGCUAGUUGGUGGGGUAACGGCUCACCAAGGCGACGAUGCGUAGCCGACCUGAGAGGGUGAUCGGCCACACUGGGACUGAGACACGGCCCAGACUCCUACGGGAGGCAGCAGUAGGGAAUCUUCCGCAAUGGACGAAAGUCUGACGGAGCAACGCCGCGUGAGUGAUGAAGGUUUUCGGAUCGUAAAACUCUGUUGUUAGGGAAGAACAAGUACCGUUCGAACAGGGCGGUACCUUGACGGUACCUAACCAGAAAGCCACGGCUAACUACGUGCCAGCAGCCGCGGUAAUACGUAGGUGGCAAGCGUUGUCCGGAAUUAUUGGGCGUAAAGCGCGCGCAGGCGGUUUCUUAAGUCUGAUGUGAAAGCCCCCGGCUCAACCGGGGAGGGUCAUUGGAAACUGGGGAACUUGAGUGCAGAAGAGGAGAGUGGAAUUCCACGUGUAGCGGUGAAAUGCGUAGAGAUGUGGAGGAACACCAGUGGCGAAGGCGACUCUCUGGUCUGUAACUGACGCUGAGGCGCGAAAGCGUGGGGAGCGAACAGGAUUAGAUACCCUGGUAGUCCACGCCGUAAACGAUGAGUGCUAAGUGUUAGAGGGUUUCCGCCCUUUAGUGCUGCAGCAAACGCAUUAAGCACUCCGCCUGGGGAGUACGGUCGCAAGACUGAAACUCAAAGGAAUUGACGGGGGCCCGCACAAG
This 941-nucleotide ribosomal RNA is filed under the name Bacillus licheniformis. RNAcentral's name for it is "bacterial SSU rRNA". It matches the Rfam family "Bacterial small subunit ribosomal RNA", at positions 8 to 929 of the family's 1533-position model. Lineage: Bacteria; Bacillati; Bacillota; Bacilli; Caryophanales; Bacillaceae. The record is from RNAcentral.